GAGUUUGAUCCUGGCUCAGAUUGAACGCUGGCGGCAUGCCUUACACAUGCAAGUCGAACGGCAGCAUGAUCUAGCUUGCUAGAUUGAUGGCGAGUGGCGAACGGGUGAGUAAUACAUCGGAACGUGCCCUGUAGUGGGGGAUAGCUAGUCGAAAGAUUAGCUAAUACCGCAUACGACCUGAGGGUGAAAGUGGGGGACCGCAAGGCCUCAUGCUAUAGGAGCGGCCGAUGUCUGAUUAGCUAGUUGGUGGGGUAAAGGCCCACCAAGGCGACGAUCAGUAGCUGGUCUGAGAGGACGAUCAGCCACACUGGGACUGAGACACGGCCCAGACUCCUACGGGAGGCAGCAGUGGGGAAUUUUGGACAAUGGGCGAAAGCCUGAUCCAGCAAUGCCGCGUGUGUGAAGAAGGCCUGG
RNAcentral lists this ribosomal RNA (414 nucleotides) under uncultured microorganism. RNAcentral describes it as "bacterial SSU rRNA". It matches the Rfam family "Bacterial small subunit ribosomal RNA", at positions 9 to 419 of the family's 1533-position model. The record is from RNAcentral.